GACGAACGCUGGCGGCGUGCUUAACACAUGCAAGUCGAACGGGAAGGCCCUGCUUUUGUGGGGUGCUCGAGUGGCGAACGGGUGAGUAUCACAUGAGUAACCUGCCCUUGACUUUGGGAUAACUUCAGGAAACUGGGGCUAAUACCGGAUAGGAGCUCCUGCUGCAUGGUGGGGGUUGGAAAGUUUCGGCGGUUGGGGAUGGACUCGCGGCUUAUCAGCUUGUUGGUGGGGUAGUGGCUUACCAAGGCUUUGACGGGUAGCCGGCCUGAGAGGGUGACCGGCCACAUUGGGACUGAGAUACGGCCCAGACUCCUACGGGAGGCAGCAGUGGGGAAUAUUGCACAAUGGGCGGAAGCCUGAUGCAGCAACGCCGCGUGCGGGAUGACGGCCUUCGGGUUGUAAACCGCUUUCGCCUGUGACGAAGCGUGAGUGACGGUAAUGGGUAAAGAAGCACCGGCUAACUACGUG
RNAcentral lists this ribosomal RNA (468 nucleotides) under uncultured bacterium. RNAcentral describes it as "partial 16S ribosomal RNA". It matches the Rfam family "Bacterial small subunit ribosomal RNA", at positions 28 to 507 of the family's 1533-position model. The record is from RNAcentral.